GCGGGAGUCGCAUAGCGGCAAUUGCGUUGGCUUUAGGAGCCAAUGGCUUAGUGCCUUCGCAGGUUCGAGUCCUGUCUCCCGCA
This 83-nucleotide transfer RNA is filed under the name archaeon GW2011_AR10. RNAcentral's name for it is "tRNA-Leu". It matches the Rfam family "tRNA". Rfam says of the family: Transfer RNA (tRNA) molecules are approximately 80 nucleotides in length. RNAcentral also lists the same sequence under 1 other name. The record is from RNAcentral.